This 207-nucleotide long non-coding RNA is filed under the name Nicotiana benthamiana. RNAcentral describes it as "long non-coding RNA (NBEN_LNC000228)". Lineage: Eukaryota; Viridiplantae; Streptophyta; Magnoliopsida; Solanales; Solanaceae. The record is from RNAcentral.
CGGGAUCUCGUCAGGCCCGGUCGCUCGACCCCUACUCAUCCUACGCAAAUCCCCUAUGACCUACUCCGCCCUAAUGCGCCUGCAGUACCCAAGGUCUCUAUGUUGCUCGAAUGCCCCAACUCCCCUAACUCUAUGUUACGAUCUCCCUCCUUGUUAAGUAAGUCUCGAAAGUACGCCUGCCACCUCUGCUUGACUUGAGACUCCCCC